This 559-nucleotide long non-coding RNA is filed under the name Pongo abelii (Sumatran orangutan). Its description in RNAcentral is "lincRNA". The record is from RNAcentral. Lineage: Eukaryota; Metazoa; Chordata; Mammalia; Primates; Hominidae.
GACAAGGGGAAGACACCAAAUCCCUGGACUCAGGCCUCGCAUGAUUGAGCGAGAGGAACUCUGCUGUCAGACCCUACAAUGCACUCUUCAGUGGAAGAGGCUCACACAUUCCAAACAUACUCCACCAGGUCAUAUGUUAAAUGACAGGGCUGAGACCUCUCCACAGCACAUCUGAUACUGGGAUCGAUGAAGAUCAGAUGUGCAAAUCACACUGGGCUCUGGAAAGCCCUAGACUGUGUCAUUCAAGAUGUGUGACAUGGAUAAAAAGCUCCCCAUGGUGGAAAGAGGUGCCAUAAAACACCUAGACAAUGAGAGCAAGAUGGGGGAUCCAAAAUGGUGCCCUGGCAUCGGCAAGUGGUGAAACCAGCCAUUUGGCCCUGUGCCCUGUCCUCAGAAGUGCCCCUGCCACCCCAGCAGGUACAUUUGCAGGUGAAGAAUUUCUUUCGUUUUAGUGUCCUGGGAACCAAGUAUUUCCUGUUGGUGGUGUUUCUCUUGCACCAGGUGAAUUUUUGCCUGGCUUACCUGAGACUUAGACCGUCCCAAUUCCAGUCUCCACUGA